AAACUAGCUAUUAUCACGAUGAAGGCAAGUUCACCUAUCGAACAGUAGUAUAGCUUUAGCAAGACUGGAUUGUCAAACCCAAAGGAACCAAGAGUACUAGUAAUUACUUUCUUUUUAUUAUCUAGCCUAAAAUUUAAGGGAUUUGUUUAUCUAAACUAAUUAACUAAACUAAGGGUGUACAGAGAGAAAAUUGGGGAAAAGCUUUUAGGAAAACUUGAUUGAUUAUGACAAUACCCAAGGAGAAAU
RNAcentral lists this long non-coding RNA (246 nucleotides) under Gossypium barbadense (sea-island cotton). Its description in RNAcentral is "long non-coding RNA (GBAR_LNC005519)". Lineage: Eukaryota; Viridiplantae; Streptophyta; Magnoliopsida; Malvales; Malvaceae. The record is from RNAcentral.